This 467-nucleotide ribosomal RNA is filed under the name uncultured bacterium. Its description in RNAcentral is "partial 16S ribosomal RNA". It matches the Rfam family "Bacterial small subunit ribosomal RNA", at positions 28 to 507 of the family's 1533-position model. The record is from RNAcentral.
GAUGAACGCUGGCGGCGUGCUUAACACAUGCAAGUCGAACGGAAAGGCCCAAGCUUGCUUGGGUACUCGAGUGGCGAACGGGUGAGUAACACGUGGGUGAUCUGCCCUGCACUUCGGGAUAAGCCUGGGAAACUGGGUCUAAUACCGGAUAGGACCACUUCUUGGAUGUUGUGGUGGAAAGUUUUUUCGGUGUGGGAUGAGCUUGCGGCCUAUCAGCUUGUUGGUGGGGUAAUGGCCUACCAAGGCGUCGACGGGUAGCCGGCCUGAGAGGGUGUACGGCCACAUUGGGACUGAGAUACGGCCCAGACUCCUACGGGAGGCAGCAGUGGGGAAUAUUGCACAAUGGGCGCAAGCCUGAUGCAGCGACGCCGCGUGGGGGAUGACGGCCUUCGGGUUGUAAACUCCUUUCGCUAGGGACGAAGCGUUUUGUGACGGUACCUGGAGAAGAAGCACCGGCUAACUACGUG